Molecule: RNA transcript, 1886 nt
Organism: Strigops habroptila (Kakapo)
Lineage: Eukaryota; Metazoa; Chordata; Aves; Psittaciformes; Psittacidae
Gene: CENATAC
Gene name: coiled-coil domain containing 84
Exons: 7
Source: RefSeq, a predicted model, not a curated record
GCCUGCGCAGUGCGAGCGCCGGUGCCACCAUGGCGGUGCACUACUGCGCGCUGUGCCGCCGCUCCUCCUUCUCCGGCCGCCGGCACCUGUACAGCGCCGCGCACCGGCGGCGGCUGCGGGAGGCGCUGGGCCGGCUGCAGGAGGAGGUGGCAGCGGCGCGGGCGGCGGCAGCGGGCGGGGAGGAGGGCGAUGGCGGCGCGGCCGUGCGGCGCUACGACCCGGCGGAGCACGACCGGCGCGUCUGGUGCCCGUGCUGCGGGCGCGGCGUGCGGCGGGACGGGCGGCGGGGGCCGCUGGCGCUGCCGCGGGCCGCGCUCCUCCAGCACCUGGCCGGGUGAGCGGCGGCGGGGCGGGGGGGGGGGGCGGGAGCGGGCGUGCGGGCGGCGCUGACCGGGUCGCGCAGGCCCGAGCACCGCCGGGAGACGGCGCGGUUCUGGCGGGAGCACCGGGCAGAGGCGGCGCUGCGGGAGCAGUGCGUGGUGCCGGCCGAGGAGUACGAGCGCUAUGCGCGGGCGCUGGAGCGGGCGGUGGCCGCGCACCAGCGGCGGGAGGAGGAGCGCAUCCGUCAGAUUGCAGCUGACAUCCGGGAGGCCGAGCGCAGGCAGCGGGAGACGGUGUGGGCCGCCCUGCAGGUCGGUGAGCCCUCCAAACAGAGCCAGAGCCUCGCGCAGGACCUGCCCCCUAUGGCCCCCCAGCAGCACCUGAGAGGGACACCUCUCAUGAUGCAGAGCAGCCUGGUCCGAGCAGGAUGCAGACAGGACCUGACUUAAACUGGAUGGAGCCCAGCCAGGCUUUGACCUUCAUCGGCCACCAGGAUACAGAAGGGAAAGGGAACGUUCACACAGGUACUCACGCCUGCAACUCGCUCGGCUGGUGCCCUGCUGAAAGCUCUUGGCUUGUCAGCGUCACAGGGGUAACUCAGAGUUACUUUGAAGCAGCCACGGCACAAGCAGGAGGUGCUCGUGCCUUUGCUGAUAAGUGACAUGCUAGCGGAGAAGAAAAAGGUUCGGUAUUUCAAAAACUCAGUUGGCACUGUGUAGAACGUACGGUUUGGGGUAUGCUCCGCCACUGCCCAGCAGAGCAAAGCCCCAGGGUUACUUGUCCUUCACUGCUUGCUGGGUGGGGCAAGCUGCAGGGAUGAGGGAAAGGAGGAUGCUUCUCCCCAUUGCAAGUUUAGGAUAACUACAGUAGCUAAAUACAUUUUCUCUGUGACUUCUAGGCGCAAAACCUCCGUGGCUAAUGGAGGAGGAGGAGGAAGAGGAUGGAAGCAAACAACUAAUUGGACCUUCAUAUGAGGAAUUUCUCAAACAAAAAGAGAAGCAGAAGCUGAAGAAGCUGCCCCCCGAGCGUGUGGGUGCCAACUUUGACCAUACCUCUCAGACUGGCGACGGCUGGCUCCCUUCCUUCGGGCGCGUGUGGAAUCAUGGCAGGAGGUGGCAGUCCAGACGUCAAUUUAGAACUGAAUUGGGGGAAAAGAAGAAAAAAAGAUGAUCAGGAGAGGAGCAGGGAAGAAAGCAAGCUCUGACUGUUGCGGGAUGGUGGACUGUAGGAAGCUGCAGCUUUGUCAGUGCUGCUGUGCAAAGUUCGGAUGUGUUUUGUGCCUGGCCACCGUGCAGCACUGCCACUGACAGCAGCUCUCUCAGGGUUGUCACAGCAGAUCCAACCCCCUGUGAUGGAGAGGCAGCAUGGACCUGGGCAUCAAUUUCUGGUCUUAAGCUACACUGAGGCAGAUCCUGCCAGCACAGAAGGCUCCUGCCUAUGCUGCAUCUUCAUUGUCACAAAGCCCAGCUUAAACAAGACGUGGUGCCCGCGUCCUGUGCCAAUCUGUAGCAUCACAUCCCAUUAAAGACAAUGUUUUGAGAAAUAAAUUUCUUUUUUUUAAAUGA